RNAcentral lists this unclassified non-coding RNA (519 nucleotides) under Hevea brasiliensis (rubber tree). Lineage: Eukaryota; Viridiplantae; Streptophyta; Magnoliopsida; Malpighiales; Euphorbiaceae. The record is from RNAcentral.
GCAGUUGAUUCCUUGAAAUCUCACAGAUCUAACGUGUAAUUUUCUAAUAAUCAACGGGCGUCGGUGAUGUCGGCGUUUGCAGUAGCAAAUACCACUGAAGUAUCAAGAAAAGUCUGCAGUCUGUUGCUGCAUCUUUUGGUUGUUUAUUGUUAUGUAAUUCCCAUUUCCGAUGCCAGUUUGGCUGAUGAUCAACAAUCCAAAGAACCAAUAGUACCUCCAAGUAGAGCACCUGCAGCUUCACCAGCUAUUCCUGAUCUGCCUCUGCCAGCCAACCUGCCAAUGUUUCAUAAAUCACGAAGAAAACAUUUAUCGCCACUUGGUGCACCAUCAAUCGUGGUACCACCUGCCAGACCUCCUAAUUAUGACCCAUUAAUAACUUCUGGUCACCCCCCUACUAGUUCACGUUUGUCAAAACCAAUGAAGAAGAAUGCUUUAGUGCCUUCUAGUGUUGGAUUGAUAGACAUUGCACCAACGCAAUCCAGUGCUGGUGCAAAUGCUACUGGUUUAGCUGAGCCACCU